This 468-nucleotide ribosomal RNA is filed under the name uncultured bacterium. RNAcentral describes it as "partial 16S ribosomal RNA". It matches the Rfam family "Bacterial small subunit ribosomal RNA", at positions 28 to 507 of the family's 1533-position model. The record is from RNAcentral.
GACGAACGCUGGCGGCGUGCUUAACACAUGCAAGUCGAACGGAAAGGCCCUGCUUUUGUGGGGUGCUCGAGUGGCGAACGGGUGAGUAACACGUGAGUAACCUGCCCUUGACUUUGGGAUAACCUCAGGAAACUGGGGCUAAUACCGGAUAGGAGCUCCUGCUGCAUGGUGGGGGUUGGAAAGUUUCGGCGGUUGGGGAUGGACUCGCGGCUUAUCAGCUUGUUGGUGGGGUAGUGGCUUACCAAGGCUUUGACGGGUAGCCGGCCUGAGAGGGUGACCGGCCACAUUGGGACUGAGAUACGGCCCAGACUCCUACGGGAGGCAGGAGUGGGGAAUAUUGCACAAUGGGCGGAAGCCUGAUGCAGCAACGCCGCGUGCGGGAUGACGGCCUUCGGGUUGUGAACCGCUUUCGCCUGUGACGAAGCGUGAGUGACGGUAAUGGGUAAAGAAGCACCGGCUAACUACGUG